AGCUUGCUUUUUUGCUGACGAGUGGCGCACGGGUGCGUAACGCGUAUACAAUCUGCCUCUUACAGAGGGAUAGCCUUUAGAAAUGAAGAAUAAUACCUCAUAGUAUGUUUAUAUCGCAUGAUUUUAACAUUAAAGUUUCGGCGGUAAGAGAUGAGUAUGCGUUCUAUUAGCUAGAUGGUGUGGUAACGGCACACCAUGGCAACGAUAGAUAGGGGCCCUGAGAGGGGGAUCCCCCACACUGGUACUGAGACACGGACCAGACUCCUACGGGAGGCAGCAGUGAGGAAUAUUGGACAAUGGAGGGAACUCUGAUCCAGCCAUGCCGCGUGCAGGAAGACUGCCCUAUGGGUUGUAAACUGCUUUUAUAUAGGAAGAAACCUUUCUACGUGUAGAGAGCUGACGGUACUAUAAGAAUAAGGAUCGGCUAACUCCGUGCCAGCAGCCGCGGUAAUACGGAGGAUCCAAGCGUUAUCCGGAAUCAUUGGGUUUAAAGGGUCCGUAGGUUGAUAAUUAAGUCGGAGGUGAAAGUUUGCGGCUCAACCGUAAAAUUGCCUUUGAUACUGGUUAUCUUGAAUCAUUGUGAAGUGGUUAGAAUAUGUAGUGUAGCGGUGAAAUGCAUAGAUAUUACAUAGAAUACCAAUUGCGAAGGCAGAUCACUAACAAUGUAUUGACACUGAUGGACGAAAGCGUGGGGAGCGAACGGGAUUAGAUACCCCGGUAGUCCACGCCGUAAACGAUGGUCACUAGCUGUUCGGACUUCGGUCUGAGUGGCUAAGCGAAAGUGAUAAGUGACCCACCUGGGGAGUACGUUCGCAAGAAUGAAACUCAAAGGAAUUGACGGGGGCCCGCACAAGCGGUGGAGCAUGUGGUUUAAUUCGAUGAUACGCGAGGAACCUUACCAGGGCUUAAAUGCAG
This 915-nucleotide ribosomal RNA is filed under the name uncultured bacterium. RNAcentral describes it as "bacterial SSU rRNA". It matches the Rfam family "Bacterial small subunit ribosomal RNA", at positions 73 to 990 of the family's 1533-position model. The record is from RNAcentral.